CGGGUGAGUAACACGUGGGUAACCUGCCCAUUGGACUGGGAUAACUCCGGGAAACCGGGGCUAAUACCGGAUAACAUUUUGAACCGAAUGGUUCGAAAUUGAAGGGCGGCUUCGGCUGUCACUUAUGGAUGGACCCACGUCGAUUAGCUAGUUGGUGAGGUAACGGCUCACCAAGGCUGCGAUGCGUAGCCCACCUGAGAGGGUGAUCGCUGCCGCUGGGACUGAGACUUAGCCCAGACUCCUACGGGAGGCAGCAGUAGGGAAUCUUCCGCAAUGGACGAAAGUCUGACGGAGCAACGCCGCGUGAGUGAUGAAGGCUUUCGGGUCGUAAAACUCUGUUGUUAGGGAAGAACAAGUGCUAGUUGAAUAAGCUGGCACCUUGACGGUACCUAACCAGAAAGCCACGGCUAACUACGUGCCAGCAGCCGCGGUAAUACGUAGGUGGCAAGCGUUAUCCGGAAUUAUUGGGCGUAAAGCGCGCGCAGGUGGUUUCUUAAGUCUGAUGUGAAAGCCCACGGCUCAACCGUGGAGGGUCAUUGGAAACUGGGAGACUUGAGUGCAGAAGAGGAAAGUGGAAUUCCAUGUGUAGCGGUGAAAUGCGUAGAGAUAUGGAGGAACA
This 619-nucleotide ribosomal RNA is filed under the name Bacillus sp. (in: firmicutes). RNAcentral describes it as "bacterial SSU rRNA". It matches the Rfam family "Bacterial small subunit ribosomal RNA", at positions 103 to 708 of the family's 1533-position model. The record is from RNAcentral. Lineage: Bacteria; Bacillati; Bacillota; Bacilli; Caryophanales; Bacillaceae.